Eriocheir sinensis (Chinese mitten crab) is the source of this 975-nucleotide long non-coding RNA. RefSeq lists it as uncharacterized. The record is from RefSeq and is a predicted model, not a curated record. The transcript has 5 exons. NCBI's taxonomy places the organism in Eukaryota, Metazoa, Arthropoda, Malacostraca, Decapoda, Varunidae.
CUAAAGUGACAUCUGUGGAGACGAAGAAUAUUACAGAGAAGGGUGAUGGACUUCUGAAGGCAGAACAAACAAAGGAAAGAAAGGAGACUCUGCCCGACAAUACAACGCAUGAAAUUGUAGUUCAAGAGAAAGAAGAAAAAUUACUUUCACAGGAUAGCACUAACGAGACAUCCGUGGAAAGUAAGAAUGUUACAUAUAAGGGCGAUGGAAAAGAUGUCGAGAAAGAAACUGUAAUUCAAAAAGAAGUCGAAAAGAAUGUGUGUAAUGGCGACAUCAAAGAGGUUCGUGACGAAAGACAUCUUAAUGAAACAGUUGAAGACCUGAAGCACCAAGUUAGCGACGUGAAAAACAAGAUUGAGGAAGAAAAGGCAAAGGCUGAGGAAACAAGUCCUACGCCUACCCAAUGGAUAGAACAAAAAGCAGUUGCCGCCCCUGCCAUCCAAGAAGGCAAGGUCGUUAGAAAGGUAGUCCCUGCUGUGAGGCCGGUGAAGGUCGUUAGAAAGGUAGUCCCUGCUGUGAGGCCGGUGAAGGUCGUUAGAAAGGUAGUCCCUGCUGUGAGGCCGGUGAAGGUCGUUAGAAAGGUAGUCCCUGCUGUGAGGCCAAUGAGGGUCGUUAGAAAGGUAGUCCCUGCUGUGAGGCCAAUGAAGGUCGUUAGAAAGGUAGUCCCUGCUGUGAGGCCAAUGAAGGUCGUUAGAAAGGUAGUCCCUGCUGUGAGGCCAAUGAAGGUCGUUAGAAAGGUAGUCCCUGCUGUGAGGCCGGUGAAGGUCGUUAGAAAGGUAGUCCCUGCUGUGAGGCCAAUGAGGGUCGUUAGAAAGGUAGUCCCUGCUGUGAGGCCGGUGAAGGUCGUUAGAAAGGUAGUCCCUGCUGUGAAGCCAAUGAAGGUCGUUAGAAAGGUAGUCCCUGCUGUGAGGCCGGUGAAGGUCGUUAGAAAGGUAGUCCUUGCUGUGAAGCCAAUGAGGGUCGUUAGAAAGGUAG